RNAcentral lists this unclassified non-coding RNA (323 nucleotides) under Hevea brasiliensis (rubber tree). Lineage: Eukaryota; Viridiplantae; Streptophyta; Magnoliopsida; Malpighiales; Euphorbiaceae. The record is from RNAcentral.
UGCAUAUUUAUCUUCCAUUAAUAAAUAAAAAAUAAAAAAUAGAUAAAAUGUUGAGAGAUGAAUUGAUGUGCAUAUGUAUACAGAGACAAUUACCAAAUCACACUAAUCCUUACAACCCCACACACACCCAUUUACCCUCUUUGACUCUCUGUUGAGGAAAAAUGUUAUUUUAUUAAAUUCUGUUCUUUUCUGGUUUUGGAUUGGUUAAAUUAUUUUACCCCUUAUGUUUGACAAAAACUACGUAUCUGUCCUUAAUGUUCCCUUUCUCAUCUAUCUAAAUUUAUUAUAAUUUAUAUUUAAUAAUAAAUUAAAUAACUAAUAAC